AUCCAACCAGGGUCUCCUGCAUUGCAGGCAGAUUCUUUACCAGCUGAGUCAUUGGGAAGCCCAAUUUUAGGCCUUCACAGUCUAAUUCUCAUUUGUCCAAUCGGGUAGCUGCCGACUGCUAUUACCUUGAACUGCUCGCUGAGUUUAUGCAAAGUAAUUUUAACAGGUAUUUGCCAGUUGCCUGAAGUGGAGACUCAACUGAAGGCUUUAAUAAUCCUUUAUUAGGCAGAUACCCACAUAUCUUUAUGGACAGACAAUGUACAGUUUGGCAUCAUUUAAAAAUGCCACCCAGCCUAUCAACUGAUGCCUAGAGAAUGUGAGCCUGAAAGAUAACAAUGUGUAGGCUGAGGCCACAGAUGUCACGUCAGUCAUCCUUGGCGGUUUUCUUGCACUGACAUUGGGAAGCAGCUUAUGAUCUCAGGAUGGACCGAAAAAUGAUUUUUGUAUUACUACUGUCAGGUUAUACUUCCAGAGAACCUGUUGCAACACAGCGUACAGAGACCACUGUCACUUGGGAUUCACCAGGUUAUACUUCCAGAGAACCUGUUGCAACACAGCGUACAGAGACCACUGUCACUUG
Molecule: long non-coding RNA, 580 nt
Organism: Bos indicus x Bos taurus (hybrid cattle)
Lineage: Eukaryota; Metazoa; Chordata; Mammalia; Artiodactyla; Bovidae
Source: Ensembl